Mastomys coucha (southern multimammate mouse) is the source of this 232-nucleotide long non-coding RNA. RefSeq lists it as uncharacterized. NCBI's taxonomy places the organism in Eukaryota, Metazoa, Chordata, Mammalia, Rodentia, Muridae. The record is from RefSeq and is a predicted model, not a curated record. The transcript has 2 exons.
AGCAGUUCUGCUGUGUCCCAAGAUGCUCUUCUGCAUUCAAUAGGUCAUCCUCUACUGAUGAGAUUCUUCAUGGUGCUUGUAAAGGAGACAUGCAUAAGAGAACAUGCUGGGUUGGCAGCUUAUAAACACUGAUGAUGCAGAGGCUGAAAUGACCAAGAUCAAAAUUCAUCCAAUUUUGGCAUCUGGAGAAAGCCAGAACAAUUUGUAUAAUAAAACAUUUCUAAAAGUCAAA